GCUGACACAUCCCUGCUAAUCUCCGGCAGACCCUCCCUCCUAGACCCUCCCACCUCCUGGACAGCAUCCAUGUUGAAGCUGCCUUCAACAUGGAUGCUGUCCAGGAAGUAGGAGGGUCUGGGAGGGAGGGUCUGCCGGAGAUUGGCAGGGAUGUGUCAG
Molecule: non-coding RNA, 159 nt
Organism: Pelobates cultripes (western spadefoot toad)
Lineage: Eukaryota; Metazoa; Chordata; Amphibia; Anura; Pelobatidae
Source: the annotation of a GenBank genome assembly